AUGCCAACGACGACGACAAGGGCGACCGUGAUGCUGGUGUUGCUAAUAGCGCUGCUCGGCCGGCCGUCUCCGGCGGCGGCGCAGCUGGGGGACGCCCACAAGUGCCGCGACACGUGCCUGGAGGGGUGCACCGGGUGGGUGGUGGUGUGCCACGUGUCGUGCGCCAGCGCCUGCUCGGGGGCCGGCGGCAUCGGCAUCAUGAGCAUCGACAACGGCAUCCCGCCGGACCACCCCAACCCCGACGAUCUCCCCAAGCCGCCGCCGCUGCCGGACCUUGUCCAUCCCCUCCGAGGAGCCGGCGGCAUCGCCUUCAGCCCCGCGCCGUCACCGGCAGCAUCAGAAUCAGAAUCAUCAUCAUCGUCGUCGACAUCGGAUGAUGAUUAA
Molecule: ribosomal RNA, 384 nt
Filed under: Triticum aestivum (bread wheat)
Lineage: Eukaryota; Viridiplantae; Streptophyta; Magnoliopsida; Poales; Poaceae
Description: partial small subunit ribosomal RNA
Source: RNAcentral